Molecule: ribosomal RNA, 502 nt
Filed under: Marinospirillum alkaliphilum
Lineage: Bacteria; Pseudomonadati; Pseudomonadota; Gammaproteobacteria; Oceanospirillales; Oceanospirillaceae
Description: bacterial SSU rRNA
Rfam family: Bacterial small subunit ribosomal RNA
Source: RNAcentral
CAUGUGGGAUUAGCUAGUUGGUGAGGUAAUGGCUCACCAAGGCGACGAUCCGUAGCUGGUCUGAGAGGAUGAUCAGUCACACCGGAACUGAGACACGGUCCGGACUCCUACGGGAGGCAGCAGUGGGGGAAUAUUGGACAAUGGGGGCAACCCUGAUCCAGCCAUGCCGCGUGUGUGAAGAAGGCCUUCGGGUUGUAAAGCACUUUCAGUGAGGAGGAAAGCAGUAUGGUUAAUACCGUUAUUGUGUGACGUUACUGGCAGAAGAAGCACCGGCAAACUCCGUGCCAGCAGCCGCGGUAAUACGGAGGGUGCGAGCGUUAAUCGGAAUUACUGGGCGUAAAGCGCGCGUAGGCGGUUUGUUAAGUCAGAUGUGAAAGCCCUGGGCUCAACCUAGGAACGGCAUCUGGAACUGGCAAGCUAGAGUACAGUAGAGGAAGGUGGAAUUUCACGUGUAGCGGUGAAAUGCGUAGAUAUGUGGAGGAACACCAGUGGCGAAGGCGGC